UACAGAGGUCUCAAGCGUUGUUCGGAUUCAUUGGGCGUAAAGGGUGCGUAGGCGGCGCGGUAAGUCGGGUGUGAAAUCUCGGGGCUUAACUCCGAAACUGCAUUCGAUACUACCGUGCUUGAGGACUGGAGAGGAGACUGGAAUUUACGGUGUAGCAGUGAAAUGCGUAGAUAUCGUAAGGAAGACCAGUGGCGAAGGCGGGUCUCUGGACAGUUCCUGACGCUGAGACACGAAGGCCAGGGGAGCAAACGGG
RNAcentral lists this ribosomal RNA (253 nucleotides) under uncultured bacterium. Its description in RNAcentral is "partial 16S ribosomal RNA". It matches the Rfam family "Bacterial small subunit ribosomal RNA", at positions 524 to 776 of the family's 1533-position model. The record is from RNAcentral.